CCGAGGGACCCCACCAGUGCACGAAUCCAUGCAUUAGGCCUCUAGUAAAAUCAUAAAUGUUUAGCAUUGCAACACAUCUCAGAGCUGCUUUCUGAAAAGGCCAUGUGACUUACUGGGGUUGGAUCAAGAACCUGGAUUUCUUGACUGUGUCCAUUGUCUUUUUGGCAGGCCAUGUACCCCUUAUAUAGCAGUUAAGUUAGGCAGACCAGAUUCUGCUUCGCAUGGAAGGACACAGAUUGCAGUCGCUGCUGCUUUUCGAUCCACUGCUGGCCAGGAAUGCGGUUGUGGCAUGGGAGCGCUGUUAGGAACAUGGUGCCAGUCCUGCGCCUCUGCACCCCGGCUGAUGCACCGCUGAAAGUGCCAACUUUGAUUUUUAUUUAUAACUUCCAUAUUCUAGCUAUAAGUCAGUGGGGAACGGGUUAGUAUAUUAGAAAUAUUUAACAUACAAUAAUUUUUGUUAAGUAACUUCUCAAAUGUAUAUUGAAUUAUAACAAGAAGUAAAAGAUUAGUGGAGUCAAAUAGUAAGGCCUAUGAUUAAAUGUUUUUGUGCAUCAGAA
Long non-coding RNA from Eptesicus fuscus (big brown bat), 557 nucleotides. RefSeq lists it as uncharacterized. The record is from RefSeq and is a predicted model, not a curated record. NCBI's taxonomy places the organism in Eukaryota, Metazoa, Chordata, Mammalia, Chiroptera, Vespertilionidae. The transcript is spliced from 2 exons.